AAGGACAUGGCUGACCUCUUCUGUGAGCCAUUUCCAGAGAAAUCAUGGUUAUUGCCCAUGGACUUCCCUAUCAUUGAUCAAUUCGAAACCUUGGAUCAGAAAUCUUCUCAUUCUUACGGGAACAUGCUGAAGAAUAAUGUCAUAAAUGCUUCUACAGAAUCCGCCCCGUCUUAUAUAUACCUCCAUCUAGUUCUCAUGAUUAUGAUGAUCAUGAUAAGCUUUUCUUUUGUGAUGAAGAUCAAUCUCUUCUUGCUAAGGUCCCCUGGUUGAUUAUAAAAACAAACAACUACUUUGUCCCAUCUCUUUUCUUGAUUACACCUUUUGAGCAAGAGCUAAGCAAAUUAUUUCCUGAAAAAGGAACUGUUUUCCAUCACCUGGGGCGGUACAUUUUCCACCCAUCAAAUCAUGUGGGGACUAAUCACAAGGUAUUAUCAUACUUACUUAGCUAAGGCAGAUGAGAGCAUUGGCAUUCAAAU
This 476-nucleotide unclassified non-coding RNA is filed under the name Hevea brasiliensis (rubber tree). Lineage: Eukaryota; Viridiplantae; Streptophyta; Magnoliopsida; Malpighiales; Euphorbiaceae. The record is from RNAcentral.